RNAcentral lists this long non-coding RNA (723 nucleotides) under Mytilus galloprovincialis (Mediterranean mussel). Lineage: Eukaryota; Metazoa; Mollusca; Bivalvia; Mytilida; Mytilidae. The record is from RNAcentral.
GCUGUAACGUUUUGAAUGUUAAGACACUAUGAUAAUUUCAAUCUUAAGUCGAACAUUAUUUACAGGAUUAUGUGUUUUUUUUGCCUUUGAUGAACUUUGGUCAUGUAUGACAUUUGUAAUAGACUUUUAACGAACUAUGCGUGAUGUGCUUAUGGUUGCGUGUGCAGUCAAAUCAUUGAGUAAACUAACGGGUGUCAUUCGAUAUAAAGAAAAAUGAUUUUGAAAGAAUAACUAACGGUGGUCAAGCAUUGUGAUAGGAUUGUGAACAUCUGGUAACGGAUUCUAAAUAUAAUAUAGUGUAUUUCUACUACAAAGUCUGCUAUGGAACAAAUCAGAAAAAAAAUAUGUCUGUCAAAAUGAUUCACAUUCCUUAAUAAUUCUAUGCACUACAUUACACUCAUAGAAGUGAGCGGUUUGGCGCAAUAAAACCAGAUUCAAUCCACCAUUUUCUACAUUUGAAAAUGCCUGUACCAAGUUAGGAAUAUGGCAGUUGUUGUCCAUUCGUUUUAUGUAUUUUAUCCUUCGAUUUUGCCUUUGAUUAGCUAUAUAGGGACUUUCCGAAUUUUUCUCGGAGAUCAGUAUUUUUGUGAUUUUACUUUUUACAACAACUUAACUUGAAAUACAUGUUAAGAAAACCCAAAAUGCAACCCACAAUCAUAUAACAAUCUGUUGUAUUUAUAAUGGUCACAUUUUAAUGUAUCAUGGUACAUUUGAAACUUGAUA